ACGUAGGGACCAAGCGUUGUUCGGAUUUACUGGGCGUAAAGGGCGCGUAGGCGGCAAUUCAAGUCAUCUGUGAAAUCUCCGGGCUUAACUCGGAACGGUCAGAUGAUACUGCUUUGCUCGAGUGCGGAAGGGGCAAUCGGAAUUCUUGGUGUAGCGGUGAAAUGCGUAGAUAUCAAGAGGAACACCUAAGGUGAAGACGGGUUGCUGGGCCGACACUGACGCUGACAGCGCGAAAGCCAGGGGAGCAAACGGGA
RNAcentral lists this ribosomal RNA (254 nucleotides) under uncultured prokaryote. RNAcentral describes it as "partial 16S ribosomal RNA". It matches the Rfam family "Bacterial small subunit ribosomal RNA", at positions 525 to 777 of the family's 1533-position model. The record is from RNAcentral.